CAGCAGCCGCGGUAAAACCAGCAGCCCAAGUGGUGGUCGCGAUUAUUGGGCCUAAAGCGCUCGUAGCCGGGCCGGUAAGUCCCUUGUGAAAUCGGACGGCCUAACCGUUCGGCGUGCAAGGGAUACUGUCGGUCUUGAGGCCGGGAGACGUCCGAGGUACUCCGGGGGUAGCGGUGAAAUGUUCUGAUCCUCGGGGGACCACCGGUGGCGAAGGCGUUCGACGAGAACGGGCCUGACGGUGAGGGGCGAAGGCUAGGGGAGCAAACGGGAUUAGAUACCCGAGUAGUCCCUGUCUCUUAUA
Molecule: ribosomal RNA, 301 nt
Filed under: uncultured bacterium
Lineage: Bacteria
Description: partial 16S ribosomal RNA
Rfam family: Archaeal small subunit ribosomal RNA
Source: RNAcentral